Molecule: unclassified non-coding RNA, 399 nt
Filed under: soil metagenome
Description: partial contains 5.8S ribosomal RNA, internal transcribed spacer 2, and large subunit ribosomal RNA
Rfam family: 5.8S ribosomal RNA (bases 1-122)
Source: RNAcentral
GAUGAAGAACGUAGCGAAAUGCGAUACUUGGUGUGAAUUGCAGAAUCCCGUGAACCAUCGAGUCUUUGAACGCAAGUUGCGCCUCAAGCCAUUAGGUUGAGGGCACGUCUGCCUGGGCGUCACAUAUCGUUGCCUGAUGCCAGUUUCCUCGUGAUGGGUGACUGUGCAGGGCGAAUGAUGGCUUCCCGUGAGCAUUGUUGCCUCAAGGUUGGUUGAAAAUUGAGUCCUUGGUAGGGAGCGCCGUGAUAGAUGGUGGUUGAGUGACGAACGAGACCCAAUCAUGUGAGACCCCUACCGAAUUUGGCCUUCAUGACCCACAUGCGUCUUUGGAACGCUCAUGACGAGACCUCAGGUCAGGCGGGGCUACCCGCUGAGUUUAAGCAUAUCAAAAGCGGAGGA